CGGCGGGCUGCAAGGCUAGGCUUCGGAGCCCGUUUGGUGCGUUAAGCCUCGAGGGACCGGGUCGUGGCCCUGACUGAAGACUCGCUCUGACUCAGCCGGCGCAGGCGUGGCGUCCCUGUUCUCUUGGUGUCAAGAAACAACCAAAGCAGUAGAGAAUUUUUAUGAAUUUAUUUGAGCCAAACUGACAACUGCCAUGAAGCAAAAUCUCAAUGGAUGGAGAAAAGCUCUGGAGAAUGACAGUUUUGCAGCUGCUUUUUUUCUUUUUUUUAAAUACAUUAAAAUUAAGGAGGAGACGUAAGGAGGGUUUCAUGAAAUCUAUGGGUGGCAAGUAAUGCUCAGAGAAAGCAAAGAAGAAAACUCUGGGAUUGGAUAAAAAGCAAAAUGGAGAGACACAUACUUCUUUUACAUUGGUGAGUACAGGAUAGUGAAUAACAUUUAGGGCACACAGAGAUGGUAAUCUGGUAACAAGAUAACAAUGAGGAGUUCUGUGGUCUCUGUGCUCUGGUGCUGCAGUUGUACCCUGAGGGGUCUGGAAAAGGGAUUAUUAUGACAUUCCAAGGGUAUGUUAUCAUAGAUGCAAAAAGACAGUAGAUAGGCUUGCUUAAGAUAAAGAUUGACUUUGUCAAGGAAAUUACAGGCUUGGGAUGUGACUACCUGCCAUGCAUGAUCUGCUUUUAGUCAGGAACUUUUAUGUUCAGCCUAUCCUAUGUGGUUACUUAUGGUCUCUGAGUUUGAAAGGCAUGUCAUGCAGGCCUCCCCUGAGUUUGUCAGGUUUACUAUAUGGUCCUUAUUUUGACCACAUAGGCUUGGAAGUAAGUUGUCGAUGUUGUUAUUGUUGUUGUUAUUGUUUUCUCAUGAGAAAAUUUAAAAGGGGAAAAAUAUGGCUAGUGUUUGGUUUUCUAGGUAUAGGUUCUAGAUUAUAUUCAAUGAUUGAGGUUUUAUUGGACUUCCUUCCAGUCAGUGAAAUUUCUAUACCCGGGGUUCAUUAAGCUAUUCUUAAUAUAACUGAAGAUUUUCAUGUUGAUUUCUUUAACUUAUUUUGAGUUGACCCAACUGAGGCUCUAUUUGAUAUGUUCAAAACUUUGUUCCCUAUUUUUCUGGAUGAGCUCCAUGAGGCAGGGGUAGAGUUUUCUUAAUAGGCUCAGUUCUAGGCCUAUAGUAUGUGCAUAAUAAUACAUAUUAAAUACUGAAUGAAAUAAAUGGGUGUUGCUGUCAAGAGAUUUAACAUGCCUUUGUCCAUUCUCCAUAAGCAUGGAUUUACCAAAUGUUGAGAGAAUUCUGAAAGAUUUUGAUUAUAAUAAUUGUAGACACUAAGACCAAAGCUAGAUUUGUCUCUAAAAGGAAUGAGUUUCAACUGUCUGCACAGAAAACCUUCCUAAAGGUCAGGUGUUGCAAGCUGACCUGUGAAGUGGAGGUAAUGUCUGUCCCUUAGCCUUGAGAUCAUUUUAGUGACUGAGGUCAAAGGGAAAGUAUUGACAGUGAACUUCCUAAGGUCCUGACAGGAAUAGAACUGGAGAGAGUCAAGGCUUUGAGUGAAGUAGGAGAGUAAACACUAGUGGUUCCUCCAACUUUCCCUAAAGAUGUUGUCAAACUGCCAAAAGAAAAUGAGGAGAGAAUGGAGAAUAUGCAUGUUUGUAGACCAGGUUUUGAGCGGUGUGGUAGAUCUCCUUUAAGGCUUUAUGAAUGGCAGUAGGAUGGCAGUAAGUCUGUGUGGAUGUCAUUAAACAGACAUCAACUUCUUUAAAAUACAACCAUGUUAGAUGAUUCUUUGCCCUCUAAAUUAGGAUAUUUACAUUAUGCUUUCCUGAGGUGAGGGUAGCAGUCUGAAUGGACCUGCGAAUGCUCUCAGAAAUCGCUGUCCGUGGACCUGAUGAAUUACAUAUCAAGAUUUGUGAAAACCCGAAAGAGAACGGGUAAACAGGAUAGCUAAGCCGUCUUUGUGAUGUUGGCCCUGGGAGCUGUGCCUCUGUUGUACCUGGUAAGCACCCGCCAGCCCAUAGCUGUUACCAGCAACAGUGUUACUGUGGUAUGCCACAGCCCAAGCAGGCAUUCUGACACAAACCAAAUAGAAAAAGGAGGGCAUUUCUCAGAAGGAAUGUAUUUUCAUUUGGUUUCCUCUUGGCUUUUGAUGACUUUAAAAAGUAAAUGUAUUACAAAGCAUAUUCCAUAAGUAGAUUUGCAAAGAAAAAACUUUUGUUCCUUUCUCAUUAUAAUGCUGCAAUCACAAUAUUUCAUUUAAGCUUCAUAGUCUUAAACUAACAUCUCACAAGUGUACAAAAACGUGAACAAAACGAAGUUAGAAUAUUAGCACUAGAAAUAGCUUUGGACAUCAAUUGGUCCAGCCCCUACUUUUCAGAUGAAAAAUGUAAGGCCAGAAGUUAACAGAAUUGCUCAAUAAUACAAAGUUAGGCAAUAUGGCAUUUUAUACAUUGUAUACACAGUAUUUCCCAUAGAUAACUGUUGUAAUAGAGAUAAAGUCUAAUGGAUUUCUUGCAAUUAAAAAAAUCAGAGGCAUCAGAUAAUUGUUAAUUACAUUGCUCACUGACUUAAGUCUGAGGAAAAAAACACAAAAUUAUUUUUGUGAUAGAGAAUUUUAAUUCUAAGAAAAGCCAAUUACUAAGCAAUUAAUUUAUAGUCCUUUAAAAGUUUGUUCUUCAGUAACUCAAGAAAUAAAAGAUUUUAUUUGGUGA
This is a long non-coding RNA of Pteropus alecto (black flying fox), 2690 nucleotides long. RefSeq lists it as uncharacterized. The record is from RefSeq and is a predicted model, not a curated record. The transcript has 2 exons. Lineage: Eukaryota; Metazoa; Chordata; Mammalia; Chiroptera; Pteropodidae.